CAGAGGGUGCGAGCGUUAAUCGGAUUUACUGGGCGUAAAGCGUGCGUAGGCGGCUAAUUGAGUCGGAUGUGAAAUCCCCGAGCUUAACUUGGGAAUUGCAUUCGAUACUGGUUAGCUAGAGUGUGGGAGAGGAUGGUAGAAUUCCAGGUGUAGCGGUGAAAUGCGUAGAGAUCUGGAGGAAUACCGAUGGCGAAGGCAGCCAUCUGGCCUAACACUGACGCUGAGGUACGAAAGCAUGGGAGCAAACAGGAUU
RNAcentral lists this ribosomal RNA (253 nucleotides) under uncultured bacterium. RNAcentral's name for it is "partial 16S ribosomal RNA". It matches the Rfam family "Bacterial small subunit ribosomal RNA", at positions 526 to 779 of the family's 1533-position model. The record is from RNAcentral.